RNAcentral lists this ribosomal RNA (254 nucleotides) under uncultured bacterium. RNAcentral's name for it is "partial 16S ribosomal RNA". It matches the Rfam family "Bacterial small subunit ribosomal RNA", at positions 524 to 776 of the family's 1533-position model. The record is from RNAcentral.
UACGUAGGGGGCGAGCGUUGUCCGGAUUUAUUGGGCGUAAAGAGCUCGUAGGCGGUUUGGCAAGUCGGGUGUGAAAACUCCGGGCUCAACUCGGAGACGCCACUCGAUACUGCCAUGACUCGAGUCCGGUAGGGGAGUGCGGAAUUCCGGGUGUAGCGGUGGAAUGCGUAGAUAUCAGGAGGAACACCUGUGGUGUAGACAGCUUACUGGACCACUUCUGACGCUGAGACACGAAAGCGUGGGUAGCAAACAGG